This 315-nucleotide long non-coding RNA is filed under the name Vicia faba (fava bean). The record is from RNAcentral. Lineage: Eukaryota; Viridiplantae; Streptophyta; Magnoliopsida; Fabales; Fabaceae.
AUGUCUCUCUCUCCCGGGCGCGUAUUGCCGAAAAGAAGGUUUUGCUUCAGUUGUGCUACUCUAGACCUGCGGAAGACAGGUGCUGCAUGCAAAGGCCUAAGUCCCGCGAUGUGCAGAGAGUGUACACCAGAAGGCUCAGAUCCAAUAUCAGUAGCGGAAGAAUUAGACUUGUGUAAGCCUGAGGCCUGGACCAUAAAGUCUAAAAUUAAGUAUAGGCCGGGGGCAGCAGCAGAAGAUUGGACUGGAACCCGAGAAGGACAAAAACUAGAUAUCUUUUGUGGAAGUUACUUACGAUCGGGCUUCACUAAUCUGUAG